Molecule: long non-coding RNA, 825 nt
Organism: Colius striatus (speckled mousebird)
Lineage: Eukaryota; Metazoa; Chordata; Aves; Coliiformes; Coliidae
Exons: 3
Source: RefSeq, a predicted model, not a curated record
CCGGUGGUGUCCUGGAGGGUUGCAGCCCUCAGGCUGCCACGGAGCCCAUUCACGUUCCUUUUUUUUGCCACCUUCCCUCGUUGGAGGUGGCCGUGGGUGGAAUUCCGGAGCCGUCGCCUCCGCGGUAGCCCGGGGAGCCCGAGUGCAGCGUACCUUGGCGGGCGGUUUUGGCCGAAGGGCCUCCACUGCUCCCUGGCGCGGCGCCGAGGUAUCAGGCUGUGGUGUGCAGCUGAGGGUGUCAGAGCAUUGCUGGGGGCUGUUACCCAGCUGUUAGAUGGCUGUGGAGUCAUCUCUAAAACGUCAUAUUCCAUCUGUUUGGUGUCCAGCUUCUUUCCAGAGCAUUUCACUUGACAUUCAUAAGGGUGAAAAUGGAAGACCUGAUUUUUCUUCAAGCCCUUGAGAAAAUCAAAAGCCCCUAUGCAUGAAGGUCUAGCAGCAGUUUGAUCCCCCUGUGAAUGGUGGAAAACUCCAACUCAAAGAUACUUUGUUGUGGUGCUGGCAGGGAUGAUACUCAUUUUAAAGUCUGAAGAAUCACAACCCAAACAAUCAUAUGAGAAGAAGAAUGAUUGUUUUUGAACAAAAUGACUCUGCUUUGGAUCUCCUGGUCAGUUCCAUUGUAAACUGUUACAAUAUGUGCUAUUUACUUUUAGGGUUAAUACAGCACAAAAGUUUAAAGCAUUGAAACGUAAUUACAUGGGUUUAAGUUCUGUGGAGAAAAAAAUUAUCUCCUCCAGUUUGUAAACAAAACUUUGACUUUAAGAACAAACAGGCAAACAGCCAUAUUUGGAGACUGAGCAUUGAGCAUGAGGUUACUUCUGGUUUCUU